RNAcentral lists this ribosomal RNA (161 nucleotides) under Variovorax sp. SR-B. RNAcentral describes it as "partial 16S ribosomal RNA". It matches the Rfam family "Bacterial small subunit ribosomal RNA", at positions 355 to 507 of the family's 1533-position model. RNAcentral also lists the same sequence under 1 other name. Lineage: Bacteria; Pseudomonadati; Pseudomonadota; Betaproteobacteria; Burkholderiales; Comamonadaceae. The record is from RNAcentral.
UGGGGAAUUUUGGACAAUGGGCGAAAGCCUGAUCCAGCCAUGCCGCGUGCAGGAUGAAGGCCUUCGGGUUGUAAACUGCUUUUGUACGGAAGCGAAACGGUCUUUUCUAAUAAAGAAGGCUAAUGACGGUACCGUAAGAAUAAGCACCGGCUAACUACGUG